Molecule: ribosomal RNA, 405 nt
Filed under: uncultured bacterium
Lineage: Bacteria
Description: partial 16S ribosomal RNA
Rfam family: Bacterial small subunit ribosomal RNA
Source: RNAcentral
GACGAACGCUGGCGGCGUGCUUAACACAUGCAAGUCGAGCGGCGCGGCGAACGGGUGAGUAACGCGUGAGUAACUGCACCCCUCUCUGGGAUCACAGUUGGAAACGGCAGCUAAUACCGGAUAGUGUGGGAUGACUCGGGUCCAAUCAGCUUGUUGGUGGGGUAGUGGCCCACCAAGCCGACGACCGGUAGCCGGCCUGGGAGGGCGACCGGCCACAUUGGGCUGAGAGACGGCCCAAACUCCUACGGGAGGCAGCGGUGGGGAAUAUUGCACAGUGGGGGAAACCCUGAUGCAGCAACGCCGCGGGCGGGAUGACGGCCUUCGGGUUGUAAACCGCUUUCAGCCAUGACGCGGUAGUGGCAGAAGAAGCACCGGCUAACUACGUGCCAGCAGCCGCGGUAAUUC